Molecule: ribosomal RNA, 219 nt
Filed under: uncultured bacterium
Lineage: Bacteria
Description: partial 16S ribosomal RNA
Rfam family: Bacterial small subunit ribosomal RNA
Source: RNAcentral
GCAAGUCGAACGAAUUCUUCGGAAUUAGUGGCGGACGGGUGAGUAACGCGUGAGAAUCUGCCUCUAGAAUGGGGACAACAGUUGGAAACGACUGCUAAUACCCAAUGAGCCGAAAGGUAAAAGAUUUAUCGUCUAGAGAGGAGCUCGCGUCCGAUUAGUUAGUUGGUGAGGUAAAGGCUUACCAAGGCGGCGAUCGGUAGCUGGUCUGAGAGGAUGAGC